GACUGCGUACCUUUUGUAUAAUGGGUCAGCGACUUAUAUUCUGUAGCAAGGUUAACCGUAUAGGGGAGCCGAAGGGAAACCGAGUCUUAACUGGGCGUUAAGUUGCAGGGUAUAGACCCGAAACCCGGUGAUCUAGCCAUGGGCAGGUUGAAGGUUGGGUAACACUAACUGGAGGACCGAACCGACUAAUGUUGAAAAAUUAGCGGAUGACUUGUGGCUGGGGGUGAAAGGCCAAUCAAACCGGGAGAUAGCUGGUUCUCCCCGAAAGCUAUUUAGGUAGCGCCUCGUGAACUCAUCUUCGGGGGUAGAGCACUGUUUCGGCUAGGGGGUCAUCCCGACUUACCAACCCGAUGCAAACUGCGAAUACCGAAGAAUGUUAUCACGGGAGACACACGGCGGGUGCUAACGUCCGUCGUGAAGAGGGAAACAACCCAGACCGCCAGCUAAGGUCCCAAAGUCACAGUUAAGUGGGAAACGAUGUGGGAAGGCUCAGACAGCCAGGAUGUUGGCUUAGAAGCAGCCAUCAUUUAAAGAAAGCGUAAUAGCUCACUGGUCGAGUCGGCCUGCGCGGAAGAUGUAACGGGGCUAAACUGUGCACCGAAGCUGCGGCAGCGACGCUUAUGCGUUGUUGGGUAGGGGAGCGUUCUGUAAGCCUGCGAAGGUGUCCUGUGAGGGAUGCUGGAGGUAUCAGAAGUGCGAAUGCUGACAUAAGUAACGAUAA
Molecule: ribosomal RNA, 721 nt
Filed under: Salmonella enterica subsp. enterica serovar Kentucky
Lineage: Bacteria; Pseudomonadati; Pseudomonadota; Gammaproteobacteria; Enterobacterales; Enterobacteriaceae
Description: partial 23S ribosomal RNA
Rfam family: Bacterial large subunit ribosomal RNA
Source: RNAcentral